GAUGAACGCUAGCUACAGGCUUAACACAUGCAAGUCGAGGGGUAACGAGAGGAAGGCUUGCUUUCCUUGUCGACGACCGGCGCACGGGUGAGUAACGCGUAUCCAACCUGCCCCCAACUAGGGAAUAACCUUGCGAAAGUAAGACUAAUACCCUAUAAUUUCCUCAGAUGACAUCUGACGAGGAAUAAAGAUUUAUCGGUUGCGGAUGGGGAUGCGGCUGAUUAGCUGGGUGGCGGGGUAACGGCCCACCAAGGAAACGAUCAGUAGGGGUUCUGAGAGGAAGGUCCCCCACAUUGGAACUGAGACACGGACCAAACUACUACGGGAGGCAGCAGUGAGGAAUAUUGGUCAAUGGGCGGAAGCCUGAACCAGCCAAGUAGCGUGCAGGAUGACGGCCCUAUGGGUUGUAAACUGCUUUUAUACAGGAAUAAAGUUAGCCACGUGUGGUUAUUUGUAGGUACUGUAUGAAUAAGGACCGGCUAAUUCCGUGCCAGCCGCCGCCGUAA
This 506-nucleotide ribosomal RNA is filed under the name uncultured bacterium. Its description in RNAcentral is "partial 16S ribosomal RNA". It matches the Rfam family "Bacterial small subunit ribosomal RNA", at positions 28 to 523 of the family's 1533-position model. The record is from RNAcentral.